GACGAACGCUGGCGGCGUGCUUAACACAUGCAAGUCGAACGGGUCUGCCCUGUUUUUUGCGGGGUGGGUCAGUGGCGACCGGGUGAGUAACACGUGAGUAACCUGCCCCUCACUUCUGGAUAACCGCUUGAAAGGGUGGCUAAUACGGGGUGUUCUGGCUGUGCCGCAUGGUGUGGCUGGGAAAGAUUCCCUUUUGUGGUGUUUUGGUGGGGGAUGGGCUCGCGGCCUAUCAGCUUGUUUGUGGGGGGAUGGCCUGCCAAGGCUUUGGCGGGUAGACGGCUUGGGCGGGUGGGCGGCCAGAGUGGGAGUGAGACCAGGUCGGGACUGCGGCAGGGGCCAGCAGUGGGGGGUAUGGAACAGUGGGCGGAAGUCUGAUGCAGCGGCGAGGCGUGAGGGAUGGCGGCGUUCGGGUUGUGAAGCUCUUUGGCCGGUGAAGAAGGUCCUGCUGUUUGUGGGGGGGUUGACCGUAGCCGGGUUAUGAAGCGCCGGCUAACUACGUG
RNAcentral lists this ribosomal RNA (500 nucleotides) under uncultured bacterium. RNAcentral describes it as "partial 16S ribosomal RNA". It matches the Rfam family "Bacterial small subunit ribosomal RNA", at positions 28 to 507 of the family's 1533-position model. The record is from RNAcentral.